This 475-nucleotide ribosomal RNA is filed under the name uncultured bacterium. RNAcentral describes it as "SSU rRNA". It matches the Rfam family "Bacterial small subunit ribosomal RNA", at positions 26 to 518 of the family's 1533-position model. The record is from RNAcentral.
AGAAUCAACGCUGGCGGCGUGCCUAACGACAUGCAAGUCGAACGAGAAAGGGGAGCAAUCCCUGAGUAAAGUGGCGACCGGGUGAGUAACACGUGACUAACCUACCCUCGAGUGUGGAAUAACAUCGGGAAACCGAUGCUAAUACCGCAUAACAUCGGCGCUUUUAAGAGAUGCCGAUCAAAGGAGCAAUCCGCUUGAGGAGGGGGUCGCGGCUGAUUAGCUAGUUGGCGGGUAACGGCCCACCAAGGCGAAGAUCGGUAGCCGGCCUGAGAGGGCGCACGGCCACACUGGAACUGAAACACGGUCCAGACUCCUACGGGAGGCAGCAGUGGGGAAUUUUGCGCAAUGGGGGAAACCCUGACGCAGCAACGCCGCGUGGAGGAUGAAGCCCCUUGGGGCGUAAACUCCUUUCGACCAAGACGAUAAUGACGGUACUGGUGGAAGAAGCACCGGCUAACUCUGUGCCAGCAGCCGC